AAGCGUACACGGUGGAUGCCUUGGCGGUCAGAGGCGAUGAAGGACGUUGUAGCAUGCGAAAAGUCUCGGGGAGCUUGCAAACUAGCAUUGAUCCGGGAAUGUCCGAAUGGGGAAACCCACCACUUUUGUGGUAUCCCGCAAGGGAAGCGAACGUAGGGAACUGAAACAUCUAAGUACCUAUAGGAAAAGAAAUCAACCGAGAUUCCCCCAGUAGUGGCGAGCGAACGGGGAGUAGCCGAAUCAUAAUCUGUUAGUGGAAUAGUCUGGAAAGGCUAGCGACACCGGGUGAUAGCCCCGUACACGAAAACGUUUUAUGGACAUAUUAAGUAAGGGCGGGACACGUGAAAUCCUGUUUGAAGAUGGGGGGACCAUCCUCCAAGGCUAAAUACUACUGACCGACCGAUAGUGAACCAGUACCGUGAGGGAAAGGCGAAAAGAACCGCGGUGAGCGGAGUGAAAUAGAACCUGAAACCGUGUACGUACAAGCAGUGGAGCCCUUCGGGGUGACUGCGUACCUUUGUAUAAUGGGUCAG
RNAcentral lists this ribosomal RNA (533 nucleotides) under uncultured bacterium. Its description in RNAcentral is "bacterial LSU rRNA". It matches the Rfam family "Bacterial large subunit ribosomal RNA", at positions 13 to 623 of the family's 2925-position model. The record is from RNAcentral.